RNAcentral lists this ribosomal RNA (120 nucleotides) under Piliocolobus tephrosceles (Ugandan red Colobus). The record is from RNAcentral. Lineage: Eukaryota; Metazoa; Chordata; Mammalia; Primates; Cercopithecidae.
AUCUACAGUCAUAUAACUCUGAAUGUGCCUGAUCUUGUCUGAUCUUGGAAGCUUAAGCAGAGUCCGGUCUGGUUAGUACUUGGAUGGGAGACUGCCUGCGAAUACUGGGUGCUGUAGGCC